This is a non-coding RNA of Equus caballus (horse), 6766 nucleotides long. NCBI's taxonomy places the organism in Eukaryota, Metazoa, Chordata, Mammalia, Perissodactyla, Equidae. The record is from RefSeq and is a predicted model, not a curated record.
ACAAUUGGACUUUAUGUAACUUGAUUUUUUGCCUCAUUGCUCCUGCUGCUUCUCUGCACUUGAUCUUAUGAAAUGGUUUCCUUUAAGCCUGCGCUGUGCUCAGACUUAGGCUGGCCUAUAGGAUCCUAUUCAUUUUACUUCCUUCACUUUUAGUUUUAGCUCAUGAUUUUAGACAGUAAAGUGACAAAUUAUGCUUGUCUCCCCAGAAAAAAAGUGGACUUGUAAGAACAGAAAGGUCUUUGGCAACAGAGGGUUAGUGGGGCAUAGAGGGGAGUCUGGGGUGUUAGGGAGUUAACAUCUAAUUUUAAUUACAGUGGCCGAAAUAGGAAAUGUCGUUUAUCUCUAGCUUGGAUUUGGUUAUUGACAAAAGUCAUCAACCAGACAGCAGAAUUAAGAGGUUUGUAGCUCGCUUUACUUUGGAUUCUAUUGGGACUUUUUCUUUAUUCAAUGUUGGUAUGUUUUGAAGAGUAGCUUUAACUCGUUAAUUUUCCAGCCCUAAAAGUUUGUACUUUUCAUUGGGCAGAUACACAAGGAUUCUUAUAAAUUGCUUAAAUGAGGCUUUUAAAAAAUUACUUUGAUGUUUCACAAAGCUGAGAGUCAGAUCUUGCUAAACUUGGGGUGGGAGGGUUUGCUGAGGAAACUUCAGAGUGAAGUUGUAUGAAGAGAAUGCUAGCAGGGAAUUCGGUCUCCUUUACCAGCAAUUUGCUACAGGUGAUAGUGGAGGAGGGUAGGAGAGAGUCCUUCUGGCAGCCAAGGAAAGGGGAGCCUGGGAGUGGAGUAGGACCAGCCGCUUGCCAGAGUCUGGUGGAAGUGGAGCCCAGUAAGCAGCAGUGUUCUUCAGAACUUGGGGCUGGAGGGUGAAUAUUUAGGCAUGGAGCUGCUUUUUUUAGGGGGGCUGGAAAGAGGGAGUGUGAGAGAGGAAGUGGAUGAAGAAUAUCCUUUAUAAAAGCAGAACAGAUUUGAAAGAGAUAUUUAAUGUGGAACAGUGAAAGAAGUGAUUUGACCUAAUGUGAUGGGCCAGAUUAUAACCUCUCAACUGAAGUUUUAUCUAUCCCUGUGCUCUGCUAAAAGUUGCAAACCAUGAAGAAUUUGAUAUAAGAUAGUGCUCAACAAUUAUUUUAUUUUUCUGCUUAAAAAAUAAACUUAUAGUAGCAAGAUUAAGCAUUAAUCUAAAAUCUGUCUAGCUUUUGGAAAUGCCAGACAAUUUUAUCUAGUGGUUUAUCUCUCCAGUGGGAAUGGAUUUGAAUAACCUUUAACCUAGGGUGAGGGUCUUCUAAUCUGUUUUUCUUCUUGUUCUUGGUUGUCUGUUAUUUUUAUUGAUGACAUCUGACUCAAUAAGCAGCCUUUUCUCCUCCACAGAGUUGUUCUCAGUGCACCAAACUUCUGAGCUGGUUCUCAGGACCUCUUUCCUGAGAUCUUUCCCCAUCACCUCUGCCAUCCCUGUUUCCCAGCCAUGUGGCUCCUCUUCUCACUUUUCUGAUACCCAGCAGUCUUCCUGUUUCCAGCCUCUUCAUCAGGGCACGAGAAUUGGAGCUACUGGGAGAGUUUUCAGCUCUGGACGAUUUAUUAUGGCUGACAUUGGCUAAAUGUUCUUAGUGUCCUGCUGUCUUUUGCAUAGAAUUGGAGGAGUUUGGUAGUAGGGUAAAUCUGUAAGUAUUCUAAUCAACUGGGAGAGAUAGUCAUCUCAUAUUUUCCUUAGUUGUCAACAUAGCCAAGCUAAUCAUUCACAAUUCAUAGGGAGGGGAGGGCAAAGGUUAUUUUUCAUUUUUGCUGCAGAAGAUGAGAAAAUUUGCAGGUGCUAGUGUUCUUGGUUCAAAACUUCCUUGGUAGAAAUCUUCACAUGGUCAUGCUUCGCAAAUCCUUCUGAUCUAGAGACUUGCCACAUUCUCUUCUAUUUACCAGAAUUAUUAACUCAUUUCUUUGGUAUUCUCAACUGACUUGAAACUUCAGAAGGGUGUCAGCAUCCAAAAGCACACGCCUGAUUGGGCAUGGGCGCGAAGGUCAGCAGACCUGUGUUCUAUUCUUGGCCUUACCGGUAACUAUAGUACUUGAUGAUCUCUUUUAACUGUGCAGUCUGCUUUGAGCUGUUCUUUGGGAAGUUCAGGUCAAAUCCUGACAAGGACUGGGAAAUUUUUUUCUCUAAAAUGGUGUUUCUUUGCAUGAGAAUUUUAUAGGUGCUACAAUCUUUGUAAGAUAUUUGCACCUCUUUGUCUUUUGCUGGGUCUGACAGCAAAGUGAUGGUUCUUGCCUCCUCUGCCACUGUGGGGCCUUAGGCAGAUUAUUCAACCUCUCUAUCCUUUAAUGUCUGUGUCUGUAAAAUGAAGUGAUCUUUUUACCCCUUAGAAUUGUUUUGAGAACUUAGAUGAGAUAACGUCUAUAAAGAGUACAUAAAAACACUUGAAAAUGAUUGUUUUCCCCAUCUACCCCAAAUACUACAUAAAGUAGCUAAAUGCUAUGAAAAGUACAGAAUUAUUUUCUACUUGUAAACAUACUGAACUUACAUAAAAAGAUAUUACCUAUUUUUCAUUAACCUGUUUUGCCAAAAACCCUUUCAGUUGAAAAACUGGGAAGGGGGGAUGAAGGGCAGUGCCUCGUUUUAAGGAUGUAUUUCCUCUGUCUUGAAGUUUUGUUGAAGAGACUUCCAUUCUUACCAGUUCAUUCCAUGUGGUCAUGCAGACAAAGGUUCCUGGUGGGCAUAGACAUAAACAGCUUUCCUAGCUCUUCUGGUUUCUGGUGUUUAUUAGACAGGAGCUAAAUCUGGCUUUUCUCUGGACACUGCUGCCCACUGAAGUGGGAAUGGUGGCUGUGAUUGCGGAAAACCAACUGUUUAUAGAGGUUUAGUUGAGUGGGUAUUACGUGUUAACCUCAUGGUACCCAAGAGAAUAACUGCAAGUCAGAUACUGUGGAAUCAUGGUUGUACAAAUAUCCCAUAGUUUACAUAUGAUCUUUCUCCCUAUUCUCCCUUUCUCUAUAACCAUUUGUCUCCCUCAAUAUGCUUACAAGGUGUAUAGUUAUCUUUAGUAGUAAAAUAUAUUAAGAAAUAUUUGCUGAGCAUCUCAGAUUCCCCUUGGCUCUAUACCUCUUCUCCCUCAAGACACUGUUUGGCCUAAACCACAUCAGAGUCUUCGUGUUAGUACAUUUGUAUAAAUCAAUGUGAGUGUCCCAUGACUGAGCCUCUGACAAGAUGGUGGGGAACCAGGAUUCUUGGGUUCUGCUUUAAGCACUGCCAUGUAGUCGUUGGGUCGAUGAAUUACAUGACUUCUGAUGUUAAGGUAAUACCUGAAAAAAUAGGAGACCUAAUAGAGUUGAAACUUAAUUACCAGGAAGGGAACCCAUGUUAUGAAAAAUAGAAAAUCAUGGGUGUUCCAAAAAGAACUUUUCAUUUGAUUUUUAUACACAGUGCAGUUUGCUUCAAAAUCAUGAGAUAAUUACUCAGGUGACAGUGACGAAUGUCUUCUUUUACCCUGAGAAUAUGUCUGUGUUGUUUGAAUGAAAGACUUUCCAUGUCUGACACCUGGAUGAUUGUCCCUUAAAUCCUGGCUGGCCUUUGUGUAUAGCUCUGUGUACUGUUAUUCAGACAAAUUCAGCUAGCAUUGGAUCAUAGACAAGGGAGCACUUGCUCAAUGACCUGUCUCAGAUACGGCUAACAUUAGCGAGAAGACAGUUUGAUCUGCCCCAACUUGGUAGAGAGAAGAGGUAUCUGCAAAGUGUUAGCCUCUGGAGGGAGAACGUGAAAAGGCGCACACCCUGACUGUCUUUCUUAUCUCUGUAGUUUUAUUUUUGAGCACUUAGCCCAAAAGAGAUUAAGCUCAUGUUACUUGUAAACCCAGUUGCUGGUGCAUUAGUAUUUACUGUACUAGAAACUCAUUUUCACCCACUUCCAUUUUCAGAGCUAGACAUUCUUUUUGUGCCAACUGAGCAGUGUGAUGGGUGGAAUAUCUAUAAAGAGAAACAAGGUGCUAUCCGUGCCCCACAGGGAGCUGGCGUUACAGUGGGGAGGAUGAACCAUUGACAUGCCUGUCACAUUUGGCAGUAUGUGCUAAGGGCCCUGGUGGAGGUUCAGACCCCACAAAGUGAGUUCAGAGGCUGGGGACUUUUGGAAGGCUAAUUGGAGGGCGUGGUGUCUGAACUGAGCUUUGAAGGAAGGAUAUGUUUUUUGGACAGGCCACGUUGAGAGGGUGGAGGAAAAGUGACUUUCCAGCUGUAGGAAAUAUCAUGAGUAGAGGCAUGAAGACAGGAAAUUGCAAAACGUGCCCAGCAAGUAUAUUAGUGUGCUUGGAGAGAAGGUUGCAUGAGCUGAUACAGGAGGAUUUAGGCCAAAUUUAUGGCUUGGAGGUAGACUUUGGGGAACCUUGCACUCUCUCCAAAGAGUGUGUUUGGGGACCCAUGGAAGUCUCUUAAGAAGAGAUGUGAGAGCAUCUGGGCUGAGCUAUGGGAGUGUUCUUGAACAGUAUGAACAAGAUGGAGACCAGAGAGGAGGUUCUCGUAAUAAUUCAGUCUUGUGGUAAGACAGAAAAUGGGGAGUUGAAAGUGAUUUAUGGAAAUGGAAGAGUGCCUUUUCUCUUGAUUUUCUCUACUGAAAAGGUGUCACUUUUUUUGAAUGGGGCCAAGAGCUCAGGGAAGGGGCAACUGGUUUGAUGUUUUGAGUGAUAGGAUGAAAAGUAUUAGAGAUUUAAAAUUUUAAUUUAAGAAAUAACAUGACAAUCAACCACCUUUCUCAGCCACAUUUCUGGGAGUGAAUUUUAUUAAAUAUGUACAUAACUACUGAAUAUUCAUUGUUCAUUUCUUUAGGCAAAAUGUCUUUUGCAUAGAGCAUAUUCCUCCAGCAAAGAAUGACUGCUGCUGAGAAAGGGCUCUAAGACUGAGUAAUCAAGAUUCUGUUAAUAUUAAGAGGUAAAAAUGACUCUAGCAUUCAAUAUGAGCUUUCAGCAUGAAGUUUUAUUUAACUUCAGAUUAUAACCUUAGAUAAACAAUUUUCUAGCCUCAUUAAUGCUUAAUCUAAUGUUACAUAACAAAGUCUGAACUUCCUGAAUAGGCUAGUACUAUUGAGGAUACGAAUAUGUUAUAGCCACAUGACAAUACUUGAGAAAGUCUCUGGUUUUAAACCCAGUAUCUCUCCUGCAAAUGCUCCCUGCUCAUAGUGUGGGCCUCCUACCAUCAUUGUCAUCAUCACCUGGAGCUUAUUAAAAUUACAGAUUCUUGAGCUCCUGUCCAUUCCUAUUGAACCAGAAUCUGCAUUUUAAUCAGUCCCCACAGGUGAUCUGAAUGCACAGUAAAGUGUAGGAAGCACUGCUGUUUACAGUAAUGCCGACUUGCAGAACCCUGCGCCUGUGUGUCACAUCCAUUCUUGAUAGAACAUUGUUUUUAUUCUGUUAAAAGUUGUCCAUUGUUUCAGUGUUAGGACUAUUAGGGCUUGAUUUUAUUUUUCAAAUUGUUAUAAAGUAUUUCAAACAUAGAGAAAAGUCUCUGGGGCUGUUUUCAUUAUCAGUAAUAAAAUUUCAUAGUAUAGCUUCCUUCUUCCCAUCUCACACUCCCAUUUUUUCCUAGAAACACAUUGUAACUCCUGUCGUAUUUCAUAGAAAAACUGUUGUCCUCUUUAUGGUGUGGCAUGCAGUCAUAGUAUGUGAGUUAGGCUGAGCUAGACUCUAUUUGUUUCUAAAAGAAACCUGUUUAUUUGAAAGGAUGGCCUUCUCUUAUUAAUAUGAAGUUUACAUAUUUAAUAUUCACUGUUUCUUUCACUGGCAUUCUCAUAUGAAGUAGAAAUAUAAAUACUUUGAGAGGUUGGCAAGAUUGGGUACAAGGAGAGACUUGUGCCGUACCUUUUCUCUUAAUAACUUGUCCUCGAGUCCAUGCAGAUAGAGUUGGAAUUUUCCAUUCAGGCCAGAAGUGAUUACCGAUAGAAGCAGACAUGGCACUUUGGCAGCAAGUCCCGUGAUCCUUUAGUUAUUCCCAUGCAGAGGGUUUGCUCCCAUUAAAAUGGAGUAGAGACUAGAAUCUAUUCAUUGUGGUAGUCUAAACUGUGUGGAUAUUUGACUGGGUAGUGUUCCAGUCUUGACUAGGGUAAUCUAAAAGAGAUUGGCUGAUUCCCUUGUAUAAGUGAAGCAGAUAAGAAAUUUGCAUGUAAGAAAGUUUUGGUGGUGAUGUUGGGGGAAAAAAGGAAGUCUUAAAUUAGGUGACUUUUUAAACCAAGGGCCUUGGAUAUUUGCUCUUCUCAGUGUAUAUGUCUUUGGCCUGUCCUUGGCCUUAUCCUUCCUAUUAGAAGUGGUGGGAAGGGCGUGAGGGUGCUUCAGUUGUGCAAUGUAUUACUUGUAGAAACUGCACGCAAAUGAAAAAGGCCUUGGACUUGUAAAGUGUUAUUGAACACAGUGCUGUUUAUAUGGAUCAGUUAUUUAUUUAGCUCUUGGAAUUUGCUAAUGUGUAUUUCUUAUGAUUUGGCUUCAUCUUGGUUACCUGAUGACUUCUAGAUGGAGACAUUUAUGACUUUGAAGCCUAGAUAGACUCGCCCAUUUUAUUAGCUAGUAAAACAAAUGAAAGGUUUGAAAUGGUUUUUAAAAAGACUUAUAAGUUGUGAUUACUGUAGUUAUAUUCAAUGUGUUUAUCCACUUGGAGCUCAUAUUUUAUAUCAUAAAUAAUUACUUUUUUAGCCUUGUAUGAUCUGUGAACCCAUUCUAACUUUGAAAAUACAGUUUGCUGAUGUUUUAAAAAAUACAUCUAGUCUGUUAAAAACUGACAUUAAAAGUGUUUUAAAAUGUGUCUGAAAUCAUAA